RNAcentral lists this non-coding RNA (253 nucleotides) under uncultured bacterium. Its description in RNAcentral is "partial 16S ribosomal RNA". It matches the Rfam family "Bacterial small subunit ribosomal RNA", at positions 524 to 776 of the family's 1533-position model. The record is from RNAcentral. RNAcentral also lists the same sequence under 3 other names.
UACGAAGGGGGCUAGCGUUGUUCGGAAUUACUGGGCGUAAAGCGCACGUAGGCGGGUAUUUAAGUCAGGGGUGAAAUCCCGGAGCUCAACUCCGGAACUGCCUUUGAUACUGGGUACCUAGAGUAUGGAAGAGGUAAGUGGAAUUCCGAGUGUAGAGGUGAAAUUCGUAGAUAUUCGGAGGAACACCAGUGGCGAAGGCGGCUUACUGGUCCAUUACUGACGCUGAGGUGCGAAAGCGUGGGGAGCAAACAGG